UACGUAGGGUGCGAGCGUUAAUCGGAAUUACUGGGCGUAAAGCGUGCGUAGGCGGCGCGUUAAGACAGGUGUGAAAUCCCCGGGCUUAACCUGGGAAUUGCGCUUGUGACUGGCGUGCUGGAGUGCGGCAGAGGGAGGUGGAAUUCCACGUGUAGCAGUGAAAUGCGUAGAGAUGUGGAGGAACACCGAUGGCGAAGGCAGCCUCCUGGGCCGACACUGACGCUGAUGCACGAAAGCGUGGGGAGCAAAC
This 250-nucleotide ribosomal RNA is filed under the name uncultured bacterium. RNAcentral's name for it is "partial 16S ribosomal RNA". It matches the Rfam family "Bacterial small subunit ribosomal RNA", at positions 524 to 773 of the family's 1533-position model. The record is from RNAcentral.